AAUCCUUUUUUUUUUA
Molecule: transfer RNA, 16 nt
Filed under: Drosophila fulvimaculoides
Lineage: Eukaryota; Metazoa; Arthropoda; Insecta; Diptera; Drosophilidae
Description: partial tRNA-Met
Source: RNAcentral